UCCUGGUUAACCCAGGCAGUCUCAUUAGAGUUCCCACCUUUACGUGUUGGCAACUAAUGACAAGGGUUGCGCUCGUUGCGGGACUUAACCCAACACCUCACGGCACGAGCUGACGACAGCCAUGCAGCACCUGUGCAAAGGCUCCGAAGAGAGCUAACAUUUCUGCUAGCGUCCUCUGCAUGUCAAGUCUGGGUAAGGUUCUUCGCGUUGCAUCGAAUUAAACCACAUGCUCCACUGCUUGUGCGGGUCCCCGUCAAUUCUUUUGAGUUUCACCCUUGCGAGCGUACUCCCCAGGCGGUAUACUUAUCGCGUUAGCUACGACACAGUCAGGGUUGAAUCCAACUACAUCUAGUAUACAUCGUUUACGGCAAGGACUAC
Molecule: unclassified non-coding RNA, 378 nt
Filed under: uncultured Parachlamydiaceae bacterium
Lineage: Bacteria; Pseudomonadati; Chlamydiota; Chlamydiia; Parachlamydiales; Parachlamydiaceae
Description: contains 16S-23S intergenic spacer region
Source: RNAcentral